Long non-coding RNA from Mya arenaria, 1206 nucleotides. RefSeq lists it as uncharacterized. NCBI's taxonomy places the organism in Eukaryota, Metazoa, Mollusca, Bivalvia, Myida, Myidae. The transcript is spliced from 11 exons. The record is from RefSeq and is a predicted model, not a curated record.
UUGAACUGUGUCAUCUUGGAAGCGUGUGUCAACAGAAUUCUAUCCAACCACCAGCCGGUGACAUUGCCAGAAUUAAAACUGCAUUGGGCCAUUCACAGGAACCUCCUUAUUUAUGGACCACCGGUGGGAGGCGCUGUAUUUAAUUGUUGGAGUCAAUGAUCUCGAGGUCCAACCGUGACAACAUCUAGAUACCUGCAGCAGCCGUCCUACUGACUUAAACAUUAAUAGCCGACAAAUUGAACUGUGUCAUCUUGGAAGCGUGUGUCAACAGAAUUCUAUCCAACCACCAGCCGGUGACAUUGCCUGAAUUAAAACUGCAUUGGGCCAUUCACAGGAACCUCCUUAUUUAUGGACCACCGGUGGGAGGCGCUGUAUUUAAUUGUUGGAGUCAAUGAUCUCGAGGUCCAACCGUGACAACAUCUAGAUACCUGCAGCAGCCGUCCUACUGACUUAAACAUUAAUAGCCGACAAAUUGAACUGUGUCAUCUUGGAAGCGUGUGUCAACAGAACUCUAUCCAACCACCAGCCGGUGACAUUGCCAGAAUUAAAACUGCAUUGGGCCAUUCACAGGAACCUCCUUAUUUAUGGACCACCGGUGGGAGGCGCUGUAUUUAAUUGUUGGAGUCAAUGAUCUCGAGGUCCAACCGUGACAACAUCUAGAUACCUGCAGCAGCCGUCCUACUGACUUAAACAUUAAUAGCCGACAAAUUGAACUGUGUCAUCUUGGAAGCGUGUGUCAACAGAAUUCUAUCCAACCACCAGCCGGUGACAUUGCCAGAAUUAAAACUGCAUUGGGCCAUUCACAGGAACCUCCUUAUUUAUGGACCACCGGUGGGAGGCGCUGUAUUUAAUUGUUGGAGUCAAUGAUCUCGAGGUCCAACCGUGACAACAUCUAGAUACCUGCAGCAGCCGUCCUACUGACUUAAACAUUAAUAGCCGACAAAUUGAACUGUGUCAUCUUGGAAGCGUGUGUCAACAGAAUUCUAUCCAACCACCAGCCGGUGACAUUGCCAGAAUUAAAACUGCAUUGGGCCAUUCACAGGAACCUCCUUAUUUAUGGACCACCGGUGGGAGGCGCUGUAUUUAAUUGUUGGAGUCAAUGAUCUCGAGGUCCAACCGUGACAACAUCUAGAUACCUGCAGCAGCCGUCCUACUGACUUAAACAUUAAUAGCCGACAAAUUGAACUGUGUCAUCUUGGAAGCGUG